RNAcentral lists this long non-coding RNA (412 nucleotides) under Chinchilla lanigera (long-tailed chinchilla). RNAcentral's name for it is "lncRNA (ENSCLAG00000022608.1)". The record is from RNAcentral. Lineage: Eukaryota; Metazoa; Chordata; Mammalia; Rodentia; Chinchillidae.
UGGGACUUCAAAUAAUUUAUAGUGACUGUAAAGGAAUGAGAAACCAAGGGAUUACAUUUCCUUUCAAAGCACGUUCACAUCUUACUUUAGGGCAAAGGUUUUAUUAAAAUCAAACCCCAGGACUUCCAAAAGAGUAUUUCAAGGUAUAUGGUGAAUGCUUCAGUCAUGGAAAUAUUUAUUUGAAGUACAAUUAACAGUCAGGAGGACACCCAGAGCUUUAGCACCUUAGAUUCUGGGCGAGGCUGCCUGAUCUCAAACAUGUUUUGAUUUGUUAUCUUCAGCAGGUUGCUAAGCCUUUUCAGCUCACGAGAAGAUUAUGAGGAUAAAACGAGUUAAUUUGGCUUGUAUCAGCCAGAAACCCAAGGUGGAUGUAAUGGUGAGUUUCCCAUCAGAAUAAUGACUGCCUUUUUCC